This 5034-nucleotide long non-coding RNA is filed under the name Homo sapiens (human). RNAcentral's name for it is "EPHA1 antisense RNA 1 (EPHA1-AS1)". Lineage: Eukaryota; Metazoa; Chordata; Mammalia; Primates; Hominidae. The record is from RNAcentral.
GGGAGAAAAAGGGCUCAGGACUGAGGAGUGAAGAGCUCCAGGGAUUUCACUCUUCUUUGUGUGUGUGAAGGAAGGUUUAUUUGCAAGAUGGGUUUGAGGGAAUUAAGGAUAAAGUCUGCUGAAAGUAGCACCAGCCUCUGGAUUAAAAGGGAUGUUUGGAUGAAGCUUCAAUCUCAAGAAGAGGCAAGAGAAAACUAAAGAAAAAGAAGGCAGCAACUGCUUUCGGGAGCAGCUGAAGGCUGGAGAUAACAUGGACCUCCAUGAUGAGAGCUGGAAUGAAGUACCAGGGCAAGGGAGCUGCCUGGAUGAGGAAACCAAGGCUAUCUCAGUACUGCCAAGGUGUUUUCAUCAUUCAUCAAAAUGCAAAAGUAAACACUGGUGAGAAAAACGAUGUUGAUCUCCCAGGCAAGCCACUUUCCAGGAGUGUGGCUGAUUAUUUUCAAAUGCUGCAUCGGAAAGUUGCAGGCCCCUUGGAAAAUCUGUCACCCCUGAGAGUGAUAUUAUUCUACAGAAACAACACAUCACUGGAUGCCUCUCACCAUGCAAUCCUCUGUGCACUUGAGAAGAAGACAAGACUCUCCUAUUUUUAGAUGGGAAAGCUGAGGCAAAACGGAUGCACUUGGGCAAAAUCAUUUGAUAAAAAUGGAAGCUGAACCUCCAAGUCCUGGCAUCGGUAGCUGCCUCAUGUUCCUCCCGCCUCACUCCACCUCAGUGUACCCGCGACUGGAGGGUGCCACAGGCUGGAGCACACAAAACACUGUGUGCUUCGUGAUUCUGAUGUGGGGCGCCAGAUCCGGUGGAAGGAGGGUGGCUGCGUGGGAACAGAUGCUCGUGUCACAAGGAGUUGUCUCUUGUGGGCAAAGCAAGCUGGAAAGUGUUUCGAUUUCUUUAUUUUCAUGCUCUACUCUUGGUGCUUCCUUCUCCUUUGCCCACCAAUCCCCCCAAUGCCAGGCUUCUCCUUACCUGGGUGCAGAGAGAGGAACAACUUGGAGGUGGGCAGAGAGGGACUCAGUUCAUGGUGCUUGGAGGUGGGAGAGCUCCCAGGCAAAAUAGAGAGGAGACUGUGGAGAUGCCGUGGGCAGGUGUGGAGGAGAGGGAGAGCUUGAACGGUGAAAAACAAGAGAUGGAGAGUCUGGGAGAAGGGUGAGCAGCCAGAAUGGGGAUUUCCACAGUAGCUUCUGAUGAGCUAUGUCUGGUCAGAACUAUAACCUUAGCUUCCUUUAUUUCCCUGGAGGGGUGGGGAGAUAGGAAGGAGAGGAGUAUACUAGUCUCUUCCAAAGGGAGGGCCAGAGCAAAAGCGUCCUGUGAUUAAUUACUCACCACAAAAACCCUCUUCAAGGCUGGAGACCUAGGAGGGGCUUGGCACACAGACAACUCCUCUGCAGCUGUUCAGAGAAAAACAGCUCUUCCCAUCUCAAGCCGCCCACCUGCCCAGUGUGCUGUCUGUCCCACUGGUCACACACUUUCCCUAGAGUGCUUCUUGCUUCUCUCACAGCAAUUCCCACCUCCGCAUGCUGGACCAGGCGGCCCCCUCUAGAUCCCAUGGUGAAGCAUCAGGUGCCCACAGGUCUAAGAUGUCUUCAUUUGUUCAAUGGCUAGAGCAGGCAGCUGGCUGUCCAGAUGCAUGAAUGAAUUCCCUAACUCUCACAUGUCUGCAGGAAACUGCUGUAGGAAGCCUGCACCAGUGGAUUGCCAUUCGGGCAGAUCCUCUCAACUUUGAGAGCUUAAGGCUUGCUUUUGAGUAUGUGAUUAUGAUCCUGCCUGUGUGUAUGUAUGUCAGAAUCAUAGAACUCUAGAGGUCAUGUUUUAAUUAAUUUAUUCAUUCAUUGAUUCAUUAACAAAUGCUUAUUGAGUACCUACUAUGUGUCAGGCUGUGAUCUGGAUACUGAGGCACAGAUCAGUGAGCAAAACAGACCAAAAGCUCUGUCAUCAUGAAGCUUAUAUUCUAGAGAGAAGAGAUAUACUAUCAUCAAAUUAAGUCAGUUAUGUAGCAUAUUAGAAAGUGAUAAGUCCAGUGGGGUAAAAUAAAGGAGGAUGAUGGGGAAUGUGAGGGGCGGCAUGCAAUUUUAAAUAGAAUGUUUGAGGAAGGCUUUCAUGGGAAAGUGAUAUUUGGUGCAAAACGUGAAGGCGGUAAAGAGGUGAAUUAUGUGGCUAUGUCGGGGAUGGACAUUACAGGCAGAAGAAUUAGUUAGUCGGGGCUCUGAGCAGGGAGCAGGUCUGGCAUGUUCCCAUCCCAGCAAGUAGGCCAGUGUGGCUCUGGUGGAGUAAGCAAGGAUGGAAUUGCAGCAGGUGAGUCCAGAAGAGUGAUAAUGGACAGCCAGUUGGGGGUGCCUUCCAGGUGAUUGUGGGAACUAGGCUUUAUUCUGAGUGUGAUGGGUAGCCACUUGGGGCUUUCAGGACAGGAUGGUAAAAAAAGGAUCAUGCUGCCUGCUGUGUUGGGAACAGACUGUAUGGGACCAGGUGAAAGCAAAGCAGUCAGCCUCAAAUAAUUCAGGUGAGGGAAAACGUGACUUGAAUAAGAUUCACUGUAGAAGUGGUGAGAUAUAAGUGGAUUCUGGAUAUAAUAAAAAUAUAGAGCCAGCAGGAUUUUCUGAUGGAUUAGCUAAGGAGUGUAAAGAAAUAGAGGAGUCAGAGUGACUUUUUUUUUCCUUGAGCAACAGGAAGUGGAGAGGUAUCAUUACCUGAAAGGAGGAAAGCCUCAGGUAGAGAAAGUUUUAGAGGAGGUAAGAUCAGAGGUUUAGUGCAAGACAUGCUAAGUUUGAGAUGUCUAUUAGAUACCCAAGUGGAUCUGUCUAAUGGGUAUUUAGACAGAUCCACUUGGAUAUCUGUCUCAAUGGACAUGUGAUCUACAUGUAGUUCACAGGAUAAGUCCAGUUUAGAGUACCAAUUUGAAGUCAUCAAAUGUAGGUGGCAUUUAAAGUGGUAAAACUGGACUGAGCACAGUGGCUUAUGCCUGUAACCCCUGCAUUUUGGGAGGCUGAGGUGGGUGGAUAACUUGAGGUCAGGAGUUCGAGACCAGCUUGGCCAACAUGGUGAAACCCUAUCUCUACUAAAAAUACAAAAAAUUAGCCAGGCAUGGUGGCACAUGCCUAUAAUCUGAGCCUCUCGGGAGGCUGAGGCAGGAGAAUUGCUUGAAUCCAGGAGGCAGAGGUUGCAGUGAGCCAAGAUCGUGCGACUGCACUCCAGCCUGGGUGACAGAGUGAGACUCCAUCUCAAAAAAAUAAAUAAAUAAAUAAAUAAAUAAAACAAAAAUAAAAAAUAAAGUGAUAAAACUGGAGAUCACUAUGAGAAUGAGGAUAGCUAGAGAAAAGAAGGGGUCCAGAAGGUUAUCCUUGCUGUGCUCCAAGGUGCUUGAGUUUGGAAACAUGAGACAAAACCAGAAACAGAGACCCUGGGAGAGUCUGUGGUCUCCAUUUUUCCGCUGAGCAAACCACAGGCUUGUGUUCUGCCUAUCUCCCACUUCGCACAUGUACAGCAUUGUAGAAUAUUUACAUGGAAAAGGAUUCUAUGAUAUAGUAGAGUGACUUCCCCUAUUGAUAACAAACAAUUAUGUCAGUCCCUACACAACUCUUAUGCUAAAGGUAAUGGGGAGGGUUGAAUGGUACUCAUUUGGGCAGCUUUUUUUUGGCUAUGUAUACUUUCAGAAAGAAUUUACCUCACCUAGAUCACAUGACUAAAAUAUAGGAAUAUUAAUACCCACUGUGUCUAAUUGGCAGAUUGUUUUGAGAUUUUAAAUGAGAUCUAUUCAUGAAAACAUUUUGUUAAUCUUAAAGCACCACACCAAUAUCACCUAUUAUAUUGUACAGCCAUGAUCAACACAAUUUCCAAUCUAGAAGUCCCUCUCAACUUUUCCUGGGACUGAGCUUUCAGGACUUAGAGUUCCUUCUCCUUCUCAUUCUUUUUCUGCGCAUAGUCUCCCGGUAAAGUGAAAACCAGCUGAGAAAAGAUUCGGGCUGGACAGGCCUCCGUGGCGAUUAAGAGUCACGAAUGUGAUGAUAUUAUUCGCAAACAGCAGUGUAGUCAUGGUUCAGAAUUUUGGAAACAGUGCCAGGAGGAUCUUGGACAUAAUUUUCAGGGUGUAUAAGCCCUGCACUAAAGUAAAGUUUACCAGUGCCAAGAGUUUGACGUUUUCUUCUUCAUGUUUUCUUUGGCUGGAGCCUGGCUUUAGUUGAAGAGUUCUGUCAACAAAUGGAAUUCUCUAUUUGGGACUGGGAUUCUUGAUUGGUGGUGCUUCUGUCUCCUCUUGCUGUGAGUUUCCUCAAACUUAGAGUCCUGUGGGAUCUGUGUUUGAACAGAGACUGGAAAUGCUUACCUCAUCUCCACAUUUCUUAGCCAUUUGUCACCAGACUGUAGAUUGACUGGUGGGAUGCCUGUUUCUAGAGAGAAAAGAUACUGCUUUUCUCUGACUCCAGCUGAGAAGAGGUUGGUUAAAUUACGAAUCUGAUGACUAUCUAUGAACCUAAGGAGGAAAAGUUAAUUUCUUUUGAGGGUUUGCAUAAUGUUUUAAAACAAAUUUAUAGAAAUAUAGAUGAUGGAAAAAAGCAAUAGGGUAAACCUAAAUUAUUAAAAAUAAAUAAUACAUAGGAAAUAAACAGCAUAGAAAAGAAACAAAAAAGAGAUUGUUACCAAAAACCAUAAGUUUUUUUUUUUUUGAAAAUUCUAAGAAGGUGGAUAAAUUUCUGGAAUUUUCAAUGAGCAAAAAAGUGAAAAGAUACAAAUGAAUAAAAAAUGAAAAGGUAGAAAUUAAAAUAGGUCUAGUAGAGAUUAAAAAUAAUAAAAGAAUAUUAUUAAAAAGUAUUGGUGGAUAAAAUAGGCACAUAUCUGAAGAUAAAAGCCGAAUUGACCCCCUAAAAAGCAGAAAACUUACAAUAACAAUCAUUAAUGGCUUUGAAUGGCUAUGAAAAAAUAAUAUCUCUGCCCUCUUCACUACUCCCAUGUAAAAUAAUUUUACGGGUAGAUUUUACCAACGUUUCAAGAGAGACAUGAUUCCCAAAUAUUAUGUAAGUUUUUUCAGAAAAAAAAAAAAAAAAAAAA